This is a long non-coding RNA of Triticum dicoccoides, 2584 nucleotides long. RefSeq lists it as uncharacterized. The transcript has 6 exons. NCBI's taxonomy places the organism in Eukaryota, Viridiplantae, Streptophyta, Magnoliopsida, Poales, Poaceae. The record is from RefSeq and is a predicted model, not a curated record.
UUAAACAUCACUACUAUCCAUCAGGCUGCUAGGAUUAGCAUUAUAUGAGUUCCAUCAGACUGUCCAACUCCUCUCCAAUUUCAGUUAUCUACUACCACUAUAAAAAGAAAGAGAGGGGCAGAUCCAAACAAUCCCACCCAUCCAUCAUCAAGAUCUAAUGACCCUUAAUCAUUUUGUGUUUAACUCUACCAACCACGCAUUAAGCUACUACAAUCAAUCUAUCGCUAAUCUGGCCCGCACUAACAAAACCGGUCGCCCGCACGACCUCCACCUUCUCCUCCCGCACGACCUCCUCCUCCUCCCGCGCCGUUCGCCUCCCACAGCCUCGCGCCGAGCCACGGGAAGCCGCGCCCCUCACCGCCGCCUCGCGCCGCCGGAGCCACGGGAAGCCCCGCAGGUCGCCGGGAGCCCGCCCCCGCCGCGCCGUUCGCCGCCUCCCCAGCCGCGGGAGCCCGCCCCCGCCGCGGGUCGCCGCCUCCCCAGCCACGGGAGCAUGCCCCCGCCGCGGGAGCUGUCCCGCCGCGGGUCGUCGCCUCCCCAGCCACCGGAGCCGCCCCGCCGCGCCCGUGGAACUGCAGUACUUCUUCCCCGUCUUCCACUUGGGCUCUAACUACGGCCUCCGCUUUGUGCACUCGGACGCAAUCGCAGCCCCACCAUUGCUAGCCUCGCCUCCCACCAGGUAAACGGCCCUGCUUCAUCAAGCUCUGACCCUGCUUCUUCUCCUAACUCCGGUCUCUUUCUUCUCCAUAUUCCAAUCUGUUCUAAUAGUACAUCAAUCCAAGCAACUAUUUUCAGAUCAAUUAAGGAAUCAAUCUUACGAUGGCUGAUGCUCAAUGCAGCGGAGGAUUACAGGUGUAUUGUCGGUAGUUUCAAUUUAAUCGGGUGGUCGUCAUCACCGUGAGGCCGCCGAUGUUUUUGUAACCCCCUAAGUUUGAUGUUUUAAAGUCAGAGUUAGUGAAGUUUGGUUGCUUAUAGCUAGACGAGUGAGCUUAAAAGUAGACUUAUUGUUGUGGUUGUUCAAAAGUUUUUGUUUCUGUUCUUGUUGUCUAUGCCCUUUACACAUUGACUGAUGUUUGUUUCUGCCAUCUGAAAAAGCCUUUUCUACCACAGUGUUAUCCCUCGGCGUCAUUCUCAACAAGCACCAGGACAUGGCUUUGUUUCUGCCAAAGCAUACAGAAGGAGGAGAGAGCAGCAGCGAGAGAGGAGAAGUUAAGAACAAGACACAUGCUUCAGAUUAACUCCUAUUUCUGAACCAAUAUGCUUUUGAUGAUUGAAUUAGAUUAAAAAGAAGGAUGACCUCGGUUUUGGGGACUUGGUUUUGUGAAUCGGUGUGUUAUAUUGACCAAAUAUCUUAGUAUUUGUACAAUGCGGCAAUAUGGAUAGACUUGUCGCUGCUUUUACUGGAUUGAUAUAUCAUAUUGUAUGUAUAAUUAUUCAAUACAUAUAUACUUGCAACAACUUCUAAUUGUAAUUUCUUCUCCACCUACAAAGAUAUAUAGAAUCAUCUUACAUAUUUUCAUGUUGAUACCUAAUUUUCAUAUCCAUACUGUUGGGGCGAGCUAAAACUACAAGGCCUCACAGUGCAUAGGGGCAUACAAUAAAGUUUUCAGGUUUGUCCCUAGAACUAUCAUAUCCAGACAAGAUAUUUGCUUGCAGAACCACCAGAGCUGAACCUUGUAGGUAAUUUUACAUGGUGUACAGGUUGACCUUUCCAACAAGUAUUAACAUAAUCAGUGGCAGGGCGCCCAUGAUCAUCUGUGAUUUGCAUUGAAAAUCGGGAGAGGAAGGAAAGAGAGGAGGAAGCAUAAUCUUGGGAGUAAGGAAGAUGCUGACAGCUUCUGCAUCCACAAAGUCCAUGUUCAGAAAAGGCAAAAACUAAUCCUUGAGCAAGCUUACUCCUGCAAAUGUUGACCAUCAAACAAUCCUCUUCAUGCCCUGUUGAAAAUAAUUUCUCCACCCAAUGGCAUCUAUCGAGAGCAGGUUGGGCGGCAGCUUGGCAGCCGGAGCAGGCUUCUAUACCUCGGUGUUCUAGGCCGCCGCGGCCAGGAGCUGCGUCGGGCAGGCUGGCGUCGUCGCUGAGGUUGGACACCGGCGGCAGUGUCGAUACAGGGGAGACCGGAAGCGUUGGUGGCAGCGCGAGGUCGUAUCGGAGGUGGAGGCUGCGGGGCGAGCCGUGGUGGGGAGAGGAUGCCGAGGGCGAGCCGUGGUGAGGAGAGGAGGCGGCAGGGAGAAGCGACAUGUGCGAGGCUGUGAGGUGGGCAGAGUGGAUGCUGUGCGGUGAGAGGACUGGAUUUUUUCUGAUAACUAAUGCUUUUUUUUUUUCUUGAGAAACACAUCUUUAUUAUUUCUAUAAGUGUGGCUACUGUGCGUGCCGGCGAGAGAAGUGUCAAACAGGCCCAACAAGCGAAUGCCCGUACGAGCCUAGGUAGGUCUGGAAGCGGCUCACUCCUCUCAAGAAAUACAGGAGCUGAUCUAGAAGACAAGUGAAUCCUCUUCGCACAAAACGGGUGCGUCCUUGCAUCCAGCAGUCUGCCAAAAAAAUAUACAUAUUUCACAUGAUUAUAUAUAAUUUUUGUUUGAAAUA